Crotalus tigris (Tiger rattlesnake) is the source of this 1543-nucleotide long non-coding RNA. RefSeq lists it as uncharacterized. Lineage: Eukaryota; Metazoa; Chordata; Lepidosauria; Squamata; Viperidae. The transcript has 5 exons. The record is from RefSeq and is a predicted model, not a curated record.
AGGUACUCGCGCGAACGCAGCGGGAAGCGGUUGCGGUAGGUCUGCAGCACCUGCACAUCGUAGCGCGUCUCGGAGCCGACGUAGCGCUUCGAGAGGAUCCUGGCUCGGAAGACUGCCGGGAAGAAGCCCGCCCGCCGGUCGCCUGAAUGGAGCCCGACAUGGACGGACGGGAGGAACCGGCGCACCGGGAGACCCGAGUUCUGUGCAGGGGAUCCCCUCUCUUCUCACCAUGAUAAACAGAUCCUCGCUUGUGGGUCCAGCCGCCUCAAGGGUCUCGUGCCCGUUAUCCGUGCGAGUGUAAUGCCACUGGGUGCCUGCUGCUUUGAAUGCACCUGGCCGAUCCACAGCCCACUCCCCAUUGAGGACAUAGUGCUGGUUUGCUUCCAUCAGGGCUGCAGAGGAUAUCCUGUUUAAGUGCCAGUCUAUUCUCCCUCCAUGAAUCCUAGCCAGGAGGGUUAGGAGCUCCGUUAAAGUCUUUGUGUAGUCCAGCCACGAGGCCCUUUGCUCCGUUGGAACAUGGGGUGAAUUUACCUCUACUCUUUUACACCACAAGAAUGCACAGAUUAUGAAACGUGUCUCAGAAGAACUCUUCAUUAACUCUUCUUACCAACCAUCAGCCUGGUCCUCAAAAGACGUUCACGCGCCUCCUGCCUGCCAUUGGUAGCUUCGUCUGCUUUGUUUUCUCAAUCCAAUCCUUGUGAAUUUUCAUGAUGCAAUUUUCAUGGGUUUCUCUCCUCCGUUUUUGUAUUCAUGUUUCCUUCUCGAUCCUCCCUUGUUUCAUCGCCAGUUUCUCCUGACGGCACCCUCCCCUCCUCCGGUCUUUUUUUGACUACCAAUUAUGUCAUCCCAUCCACUUCCAGGGCACUUCUAGACCCAUCCUCACAUGGUGGGAGGAAUGAUGACAUGAAAAUGCCUGGCUUUUGUGAGACCCACGCCAGGGUCUCCAUGCCAAUUCAAGGACCGGAGGAGUGCCCAUGAAUGCAGCUCUGAGGAAGGGCCCAUUUUCUAUCUAUUUCUUCUGGAAGAUUAAUCGAAGGCUGGCCCUUUCUCCUUCUCCACCCUCUUUCUUUUCUCUCCCAACCUGCUCUUAGACUUAGGGCCAUUUCUUUGCCGUGUGGGCCCAGCUUGCCUGUCGUUCUCUGCCCUUCCAGCCUCCUCCCUCCCCCACUUUCUUCACCAGGGGAAACCAGGCCAUCCUCUCCCCCCACCUUCCUUCCAUUUCCAAAUUCAUCCCUGGCUCUCCUGUUGUCAGAAUCCACAUCACCCACUGGCACUCCCACCUUCAGGGGCAGACCUGCAACCUCCCAGUGUUGCACACACUUUAUGUCCUGGUACGCACUUGUCAGUUCCGGUCUAUGAGAUUGGACGAGAAGUGCGCAGGAGGUGGGACGGGACAAGAGGGCACAAUCUGCAACUGUGUCGUUUGUACAGUGUCCUUAGAAUGGUUUGAUGGAGUUUGGAAAAAAUUCAGAGAAGAGCAACUAAGAUGAUCAGGGGCCUGGAGACUAAAACAUACGAAGAACGGCUACGGGACUUGGGUCUG